UACGUAGGGCGCAAGCGUUUGUCCGGAAUUAUUGGGCGUAAAGAGCGUGUAGGCGGCCCGAUUAGUCCGCUGUGAAAGUCCAGGGCUCAACCCUGGAAUGCCGGUGGAUACUGUCGGGCUAGAGUCCGGAAGGGGCGAGUGGAAUUCCUGGUGUAGCGGUGAAAUGCGCAGAUAUCAGGAGGAACACCAAUGGCGAAGGCAGCUCGCUGGGACGUGACUGACGCUGAGACGCGAAAGCGUGGGGAGCAAACAGG
RNAcentral lists this ribosomal RNA (254 nucleotides) under uncultured bacterium. RNAcentral's name for it is "partial 16S ribosomal RNA". It matches the Rfam family "Bacterial small subunit ribosomal RNA", at positions 524 to 776 of the family's 1533-position model. The record is from RNAcentral.